Camellia sinensis is the source of this 979-nucleotide long non-coding RNA. RefSeq lists it as uncharacterized. NCBI's taxonomy places the organism in Eukaryota, Viridiplantae, Streptophyta, Magnoliopsida, Ericales, Theaceae. The record is from RefSeq and is a predicted model, not a curated record.
AGGAAUAAGUUUUAGGGCUUUCGGUCCAGAAGUCCAAUUUUUAUUUUCUUCAGUCUAAAAGUCUAUACUCUAAAUUACUAUGUCCAUAAGGACACGCUCUUGAAAAAAAUACCAAAUUACCCAUAUAUAGAUCAUGCGUGUUGUUCCUCUCAAUAAUGAAACCCUCUCUCUCUCUCUCUCUCUCUCUCUAAAUCACUUCUCUCUCCCUCUAUCUAUUUCGUUCUUGAAACCCAGAUAAAUGAGCGAAGAAGGAGGGAUGAGCAAAGGUUUUGCCGCCAGAGUCGCAGCUGUCGGCACCGGCGCAUCAACGCGAAUGACAGCGUCAUCACCGUCGACGAGCUCAAGCAAGAGUGUGUAAGGCAUCAAGAGAAACCGAGAGAAAAUGGCGAUGAUUAGGUCAUUUUACCACUCGAUCUACUUCAGAUCUCUCUCUUCUUCUUCCUCCACCGCACCAUAUCCACACUCGCAACAACAUUGUACAAUGAAGAUGAAAAUGAUGAGAAGAAGAUUAGAGUGGUGAUGAAGCAUAGUGUCAAGAUCUUGGAAGAGGUCUGUCAGAUUUGUUGUUGUCCGUCAGAUCUGAGAUCCUGCACCUCCUUCUACCAUAGAGAUCGAUGGCUUUGGCUGAGAUCCGGCAGAUCGAGAGGGUUAUGGUUUCGCACUCCCCCCCUCCUCCUCCCUCUUCCUCCCUCCCCCCCCCUCUCUCUCUCUCUCUCACACACACACACACUCAUCGUCUUUCUCUCUCUCGGGUUAGGGUUUUGAUUUGCAAACAGAUUGUCACCACAGUCCAACAUCAACCACAACUCCGAAUGAAAUCGCGAUCAUCAUCAACCACAACGGUGAUCGUUUGGAUGAUUUGAGGCGGCGAUAAUGGCGGUGGUUCCAUCGCCUUUGGUUUUCUAGGGUUUGACAUCAACUGAAUGAGAGAAACUAGUCUCAAAACCAAAUCAAUAAUAUAGAUAGAGAUAUAUAAGUA